Molecule: long non-coding RNA, 503 nt
Filed under: Homo sapiens (human)
Lineage: Eukaryota; Metazoa; Chordata; Mammalia; Primates; Hominidae
Description: HSALNT0310798
Source: RNAcentral
AGUUGAGUUGGAAUGUGGCAUGGCUGGCAGUUGAUGAUGACUGUUUCCUAGGAGUUCUGCUGGAGCUACAUGCCUGAACACCAACCAAUAACCUUUUCAUGUGGCUGAGACCUUUCAUAUGGCCACAGUCCUCAGAGACAGCAUCCCAAGAGUGAUCCUUUUAAGAGGCUCAGGUAGAAAUUGCAAGGUGUUUUUACAGUCUUUUCAGAGGUUGGAGUGUCACUUCUGUCAUAUUCUGCUGGUUCAACAAGCCAGUAAAGCCAAGCCCAGAGUAAGGUGCAAGGCUAGUCUAGCCUGCUGGACAAUGAGAGGCCUACGGAACAGGGCGGAGUCACCAUAUCCCACUGAAACUGGCCUAGGUUAGCCAACAGCCCACCUCUCCCAGGCACGUGAAAGCUCAGCGGACUCUGAACAGAUGGACAAUAAACAUUUACUGUGUUUGCCACAUAAGUUUUGUAUUUGUCAUUAUAAAGCAUUAUUGUGACAAUAGAGAAACUAACAUA